This 83-nucleotide transfer RNA is filed under the name Pseudoxanthomonas suwonensis 11-1. It matches the Rfam family "tRNA". From Rfam's summary of the family: Transfer RNA (tRNA) molecules are approximately 80 nucleotides in length. Their secondary structure includes four short double-helical elements and three loops (D, anti-codon, and T loops). Lineage: Bacteria; Pseudomonadati; Pseudomonadota; Gammaproteobacteria; Lysobacterales; Lysobacteraceae. The record is from Rfam by way of RNAcentral. RNAcentral also lists the same sequence under 2 other names.
GCCGAAGUGGCGGAAUGGUAGACGCAGCGGACUCAAAAUCCGCCGGCCUUAAAACCGUGUGGGUUCGAGUCCCACCUUCGGCA